AUCGCACUUUGUUUGGCCGAAGAAUGGGAGCUCAAAACCGCUCAUUUAGGUCUUUCUGCUUUCAAGUACGUGCCACUGGUUAUGCAAAAGGGCUUUUCAACAUCUAAAAGAGCUGAGCCUGAGCUCUAGAGGAAUGGUCGCCGGAGUCAAGCCUUCUCAACCUAAACAGCCACCUGAAUCUGCCAAGAAUUGCGAGGCUAAAUGGGUUUCAGUCAGGGGAGCAGAAGUAAAGGAAGUUGGGAUUGACGAGAAAAGCAGGGUAAAGCAAGCUGAGAAGGCUGAGAAAAUCAUGCAUGUCGUCUGCUGGGGACCUCAUAUGAUCUAACUAGGACUCCAAUACUUCUGGUAAAUUACUAGCUUGUAUUAAAAUUCAUGGCUUGGCAAUGUUUUAGGAGAGCUGAUGUACUGUAUCCUAUGGUUAUACCCUUUGCAGGGAAAUGCAGAUAUAAAUGUUUACUUGGUCUUUAACAAUUUUUUUUAAAUCCAUUUCUCAAAGCAUCAUAUGUAUUUGCAAGAGCAAAACCGAAUUGUGCAUUGCUUUUGUUAUGCAGAAGUUUG
RNAcentral lists this unclassified non-coding RNA (558 nucleotides) under Hevea brasiliensis (rubber tree). Lineage: Eukaryota; Viridiplantae; Streptophyta; Magnoliopsida; Malpighiales; Euphorbiaceae. The record is from RNAcentral.